CAUUUAAAGAAAGCGUAAUAGCUCACUGGUCGAGUCGGCCUGCGCGGAAGAUGUAACGGGGCUAAACCAUGCACCGAAGCUGCGGCAGCGAACGUAUCACUUAAAGCGAUUCAGCGGGUUACGAUUGACGGAGCGAAGCGACGUCAAAGCGUAUACAAAGUCGAGUCGGUUUAAGGAUACGUUCGUUGGGUAGGGGAGCGUUCUGUAAGCCUGCGAAGGUGGCCUGUGAGGGUUGCUGGAGGUAUCAGAAGUGCGAAUGCUGACAUAAGUAACGA
Molecule: ribosomal RNA, 275 nt
Filed under: Salmonella enterica subsp. enterica serovar Agona
Lineage: Bacteria; Pseudomonadati; Pseudomonadota; Gammaproteobacteria; Enterobacterales; Enterobacteriaceae
Description: partial 23S ribosomal RNA
Rfam family: Bacterial large subunit ribosomal RNA
Source: RNAcentral